RNAcentral lists this ribosomal RNA (448 nucleotides) under uncultured bacterium. RNAcentral describes it as "partial 16S ribosomal RNA". It matches the Rfam family "Bacterial small subunit ribosomal RNA", at positions 330 to 792 of the family's 1533-position model. The record is from RNAcentral.
UCCAGACUCCUACGGGAGGCAGCAGUGGGGAAUAUUGGGCAAUGGGCGCAAGCCUGACCCAGCGACGCCGCGUGAGGGAAGACGGUCUUCGGAUUGUAAACCUCUUUCAGCAGGGAAGACAAAAGGACGGUACCUGCAGAAGAAGCCACGGCUAACUACGUGCCAGCAGCCGCGGUAAUACGUAGGGAGCAAGCGUUGUUCGGAAUGACUGGGCGUAAAGGGUGCGUAGGCGGUUGUACAAGUUAGAAGUGAAAUACCCAGGGCUUAACUCGGGUGCUGCUUCUAAAACUGUAUGACUUGAGUGCAGUAGAGGUUAGUGGAAUUCCUAGUGUAGCGGUGGAAUGCGUAGAUAUUAGGAGGAACACCAGAGGCGAAGGCGGCUAACUGGACUGCAACUGACGCUGAGGCACGAAAGUGUGGGGAGCAAACAGGAUUAGAUACCCGUGUA